Erinaceus europaeus (western European hedgehog) is the source of this 1119-nucleotide long non-coding RNA. RefSeq lists it as uncharacterized. Lineage: Eukaryota; Metazoa; Chordata; Mammalia; Eulipotyphla; Erinaceidae. The record is from RefSeq and is a predicted model, not a curated record. The transcript is spliced from 3 exons.
CCCAGCUGUAAGGCAGAGGAGCAGGGUCUGAGGGCUGGCCUACCUCUGUCCCACCCAGUUUCCUGAGGUCUGUGUUGUUCCCAGCAGACUUCCAGCUUCUGGAAUGCUGGGCCUCCACCCUCAGGUCCAGUAAGGGCUGGGUGCUCCGCAGGAAUGAGCACGACCUGCCUGCAAAGGGCUGAGACACUGACCAACUACUCCAGGGUUAAGCCUGACUGCUCCUAGUCACCUGACUAGCCCACCAGCUGGUGACCUUGGACACAUUUCCCUGGGACUCAGUUUCUCCAGGGCUUCACAGCUGCAUUGUUCUUUUUAAUUUUAUUUACUUUGUUAUUGUACUAGGAGGAAGAUAGGGAGAGAGAGGAGGCCAGACAGUAGCACACCAGGUUAAGCACACAUAAUGCAAAGUGCUAGGACCUACGUUAAGGAUACUAGUUCGAGCCCCUGGCUUCCCACCUGAGGGGUGGGGAGGGGGUCGCUUCACAAACAGUGAAGCAGGUCUGCAGAUGUCUUUCUCUCCCCCCUCUCUGUCUUCUCUUCCCCUCUCAAUUUCUCUCUGUCCUAUCCCAAAAAAAUCAGAAUAAUUGGUCACCAGGAACAGUAGAUUAGUAGUACAGGCACUGAGCCCUAGCAAUAACCCUGGAGGCAAAAAAAAAAAAAACGAGAGAGAGACACUUGCAAUGCUAUUUCACCACUUAUGAAGCUUUCCCCCUGUAAGUGGGGACCAGGGGCUUUGACCCUGGGGCCUUGUACACUGGUAUGUGCACUUAACUAAGUGCGCCACCACCUGGCCCCACAACUCACACUGUCUGCCACUUUGGUGGACUCUUCUUGUUUCCAGGUAGAGGGGGAACGACACACAGAGAGACGGAGUGACACCACAGCACGGCCCCACCGCUUGUGAAGUUUUCUCUCUGCAUAUGGUGGCCAGGGGUUUGAGCCCAGGUCCUCACUGAGGAAUAAACCUCUGGAUGACUGAACAAAUAAGCAAGGAGGCAGCCCAGGCUAAGGGCCACAGAGUGGGGCAAGGGACAGUCACCCACCUUCCGAGCGCAGCGUGGUCCCCAUCUCCAGGGGGAUGACGAGCAGCGGGAAGACCCCACUCAGCCCCACCAGGAG